Molecule: unclassified non-coding RNA, 299 nt
Filed under: plant metagenome
Description: partial contains small subunit ribosomal RNA, internal transcribed spacer 1, and 5.8S ribosomal RNA
Source: RNAcentral
UUUCCGUAGGUGAACCUGCGGAAGGAUCAUUAUCGAAUUUCGAGGGGAAGGAAGAUGAGGAGUGGAGACUGUCGCUGGCUUUCCCGCCUGGGAAGCAUGUGCACGCCUUGCUUUUCGUUGACCUUUCUCUUACUCUCACACCUGUGCACCCAUUGUAGGUCCUCGAAAGAGGAUCUAUGUUUUUAUCAUCACACGCAUCGUAUGUCCAUAGAAUGUAACAUGAUCGUCGAUCGACCUCGCGGUCGGGUGGCGGUAUAAAUAAAUAAAUACAACUUUCAACAACGGAUCUCUUGGCUCUC